RNAcentral lists this ribosomal RNA (407 nucleotides) under uncultured Saccharomonospora sp. RNAcentral's name for it is "bacterial SSU rRNA". It matches the Rfam family "Bacterial small subunit ribosomal RNA", at positions 355 to 774 of the family's 1533-position model. Lineage: Bacteria; Bacillati; Actinomycetota; Actinomycetes; Pseudonocardiales; Pseudonocardiaceae. The record is from RNAcentral.
UGGGGAAUAUUGCACAAUGGGCGGAAGCCUGAUGCAGCGACGCCGCGUGGGGGAUGACGGCCUUCGGGUUGUAAACCCCUUUCGCCCGGGACGAAGCGAGAGUGACGGUACCGGGAGAAGAAGCACCGGCCAACUACGUGCCAGCAGCCGCGGUAAUACGUAGGGUGCAAGCGUUGUCCGGAAUUAUUGGGCGUAAAGAGCUCGUAGGCGGUGUGUCGCGUCUGCCGUGAAAACCUGCGGCUUAACCGUGGGCGUGCGGUGGAUACGGGCACACUUGAGUUCGGUAGGGGAGACUGGAAUUCCUGGUGUAGCGGUGGAAUGCGCAGAUAUCAGGAGGAACACCAGUGGCGAAGGCGGGUCUCUGGGCCGAAACUGACGCUGAGGAGCGAAAGCGUGGGGAGCGAACA